AAAAUCCUGAAAUGUGCGUGGUGCCUUUAUUUUGAACCUGCUAUGUUUGAUACGGGAGCCCGGAGUUUGUAUACGUAGCACAGGCCGCAAUCUAAUACCAUCGCAGCUCGCUGCGACUGGCGGCGGAAGUGUGAAAUAUACAACAGGGCACCCACCUGGUGGAGCGCCAGGUGUCAAAAUGGGCAAACGGCAUUUUGGGAGGAAG
RNAcentral lists this non-coding RNA (205 nucleotides) under Clostridiaceae bacterium. RNAcentral describes it as "6S RNA". It matches the Rfam family "6S / SsrS RNA". Rfam says of the family: E. coli 6S RNA was the first non coding RNA to be sequenced, but its function was unknown until recently. It consists of 184 nucleotides that fold into an extended hairpin structure with a large single-stranded internal bulge. The 6S RNA specifically associates with RNA polymerase holoenzyme containing the sigma70 specificity factor. The record is from RNAcentral. Lineage: Bacteria; Bacillati; Bacillota; Clostridia; Eubacteriales; Clostridiaceae.